RNAcentral lists this ribosomal RNA (481 nucleotides) under uncultured bacterium. Its description in RNAcentral is "bacterial SSU rRNA". It matches the Rfam family "Bacterial small subunit ribosomal RNA", at positions 30 to 507 of the family's 1533-position model. The record is from RNAcentral.
AUUGAACGCUGGCGGCAGGCUUAACACAUGCAAGUCGAGCGAGAAAGCCCUUCGGGGUGAGUAGAGCGGCGGACGGGUGAGUAACGCGUAGGAAUCUACCUGGUAGUGGGGGACAACCUGGGGAAACUCAGGCUAAUACCGCAUACGCCCUACGGGGGAAAGCGGGGGACCUUCGGGCCUCGCGCUAUCAGAUGAGCCUGCGUCGGAUUAGCUUGUUGGUGAGGUAAAGGCUCACCAAGGCGACGAUCCGUAGCUGGUCUGAGAGGAUGAUCAGCCACACUGGAACUGAGACACGGUCCAGACUCCUACGGGAGGCAGCAGUGGGGAAUAUUGCGCAAUGGGGGCAACCCUGACGCAGCCAUGCCGCGUGUGUGAAGAAGGCCUUAGGGUUGUAAAGCACUUUCAAUUGGGAAGAAAAGCUCGUAGUUAAUAACUGCGAGCCCUGACAUUACCUUUAGAAGAAGCACCGGCAAACUCCGUG